RNAcentral lists this ribosomal RNA (610 nucleotides) under Lactarius sp. WT15. RNAcentral's name for it is "eukaryotic LSU rRNA". It matches the Rfam family "Eukaryotic large subunit ribosomal RNA", at positions 63 to 648 of the family's 3401-position model. The record is from RNAcentral. Lineage: Eukaryota; Fungi; Basidiomycota; Agaricomycetes; Russulales; Russulaceae.
AACUAACAAGGGAUUUCCCUAGUAACUGCGAGUGAAGCGGGAAAAGCUCAAAUUUAAAAUCUGGCGGUCUUUGACUGUCCGAGUUGUAAUUUAGAGAAGCGUCUUCCGCGCCGGACCGUGCACAAGUCUCCUGGAAUGGAGCGUCAUAGAGGGUGAGAAUCCCGUCUUUGGCAUGGAUGCCCGGUGCUUCUGUGAUGCGCUCUCGAAGAGUCGAGUUGUUUGGGAAUGCAGCUCAAAAUGGGUGGUGAACUCCAUCUAAAGCUAAAUAUUGGCGAGAGACCGAUAGCGAACAAGUACCGUGAGGGAAAGAUGAAAAGCACUUUGGAAAGAGAGUGAAACAGUACGUGAAAUUGUUGAAAGGGAAACGCUUGAAGUCAGUCGCGUCGACCGAGACUCAGCCUUGCCUUGGCUUGGUGUACUUCUCAGCACGACGGGUCAGCAUCAAUUUUGCCCCUCGGAUAAUGGCAAGGGAAAGGUGGCACCUUUACGGGUGUGUUAUAGUCUCCUGUCGCAUGCGAGGGGUGGGAUUGAGGAACUCAGCGCGCACCUCGGUGUCGGGGCUUCGGCCCACGUUACGCGCUUAGGAUGCUGGCAUAAUGGCUUUAACGAC